This 440-nucleotide ribosomal RNA is filed under the name uncultured bacterium. Its description in RNAcentral is "partial 16S ribosomal RNA". It matches the Rfam family "Bacterial small subunit ribosomal RNA", at positions 338 to 795 of the family's 1533-position model. The record is from RNAcentral.
CCUACGGGUGGCAGCAGUGGGGAAUAUUGGACAAUGGGGGAAACCCUGAUGCAGCGACGCCGCGUGCGUGAUGAAGUCAUUCGGUAUUUUAAGCUCUAUCAACAGGGAAGUAACUCACGUUACCUGAGUAAGCAGCCCCGUCUAAAUACGUGCCAGCAGCCGCGGUAAUACGUAGGGGGCCAGCGUUAUCCGGAUUUACUGGGUGUUAAGGGGGCGUAGUCGGCAGGGCGAGUGUGCAGUGAAAGGCGCGGGCUCAACCCCCGGAUUGCACUGGAAACUGUGCGGCUGGAGUGCAGGGUAGGUAAGCGGAAUUCCUAGUGUAGCGGUGAAAUGCGUAGAUAUUAGGAGGAACACCAGUGGCGAAGGCAGCUUGCUGGACUGUAACUGACGUUGAUGCUCGAAAGCGUGGGGAGCAAACAGGAUUAGAUACCCGUGUAGUC